Molecule: unclassified non-coding RNA, 1918 nt
Filed under: Leishmania donovani
Lineage: Eukaryota; Euglenozoa; Kinetoplastea; Trypanosomatida; Trypanosomatidae
Description: gene:LdHU3.35.6440(CDS-product:proteasome_alpha_1 _subunit_putative)
Source: RNAcentral
UCCUGGGUCUUUUUCUCCCCUUGUCGCUCGUAUCAUCAUCAGCCUCCACUGUUCGCGUCGUGUUGAAGCACCUUACCACUGCGCAUUCCCCUCCCCCUCCCCCUCUCCACACACGCGCAACAAAGUGCGACUCUCAUCGACUUUCUGAUUCUCUUUCCGUUCUUAUCCUUUUUCUUCUAGACAGCACCAUGAACCGCGCAGGCUUCGACAAGUACAUUACCGUCUUCAGCCCUGAGGGCUCGCUGUACCAGGUGGAGUACGCAUUCAAAGCCGUCACCUACCCUGGCUUGCUCACCAUUGCCAUUCGCUGCAAGGAUGCCGUUCUGGUCGCAACGCAGCACGUGAUUCCCGACCGCCUCAUGCGCCCUGACUCGGUGACGGCGCUCUACGAGGUCACUCCGAGCAUCGGCUGCUGCAUGACCGGUCGCGCCCCCGACGGGCGCGCGCUAGUGCAGCGCGCGCGAGAGGAAGCGUCGGAUUACCACUACCGCUACGGUGUGCAGAUUCCAAUCGCUGUGCUGGCGAAGCGCAUGGGCGACAAGGCCCAGGUGCGCACGCAACAGGCCGGCCUGCGGCCGAUGGGUGUGGUGAGCACCUUCAUCGGCAUGGAUCAGAGUGACCAGGAUGGCUCGCUGAAGCCGCAGAUUUACACCGUCGACCCGGCCGGCUGGACCGGUGGGCACAUUGCAUGCGCUGUUGGCAAGAAGCAGGUGGAGGCGAUGGCAUUCUUGGAGAAGCGCCAGAAGAGCACCAAGUUUGACGAGCUGACGCAGAAGGAGGCCGCGAUGAUCGCGCUGGCGGCGCUGCAGAGCGCGAUCGGCACGGCUGUCAAAGCGAAAGAGGUGGAGGUGGGCCGCUGCACAGCCGCCAACCCGGCCUUUCAGCGUGUGCCGAAUAGCGAGGUUGAGGAGUGGCUGACCGCCGUGGCCGAGGCGGAUUAAGCGGUGCGCGGGCGACAACUUAGAACUUCGAGCACCGCACCGAUUUCUGUUCCUUUGGCGCUUUUCCUCUCCUUGCCCUUCCCCUCCUCACCUGAUCUACCGCGGCGCGUGCAAUCGCAUCCGCUUUCUCUCUAUUCGCACUGGAGGCUGCUCAGCGCCGUGGGCGGCCCACGGCGCAAGGGGACGUGUGCAGGUCCCACGCUGGUUCACGCGGCUGGCGCUCUUGUACUGCAUGUCCGUAGCAAAGACAGGAAGGAAGGCACACCAUGGCUGCUCUGUUUUCCUGUUCAUGUGAAGUGCUCAGAGGAGGUGUUCCACGCAUGCGGACACGCACCCUAGCACCUUCCUUGAAAGAAGCGGAGGGGUGGCUGACGUACGAUUUGCCUGAGCUGUGUCUCCGUCUUAUGUUUAUUCUCCUUCCACCUUCUUUUUUCUUUGGGGUUCGUCCUGGUCUUUGUCUAUCUUCUUCAUGUGUGCGGUUGUGGUUGCUGAGAGCGCGCUGACAGGCGCGCACGGUUUUACGUGUGAAGGCUGUGGCGAGCCCACACGAGACGUGGAAAAGUGACGACCGCGCAUCCUCAUGGAUCGCUGUCUGCGGGGGCCUCGAGUGUCGGCCCCGCUGCGUGGGUGCAGCAAAGGGAGAGCUAGAAGGCACUGCCGGCGAGGAGGCGGGUGCAAUGAAAAGGAGCUGGAGGCGAGGGAUGGGUACAGGCAAGAGACGCUGCUUUUCCGUUGCCUGUUAACCGGAUCGCGGUACGAGCGAGAGGAGGGCGGAGGAGACGAAGAGGUCGAUACCAAGAAGCACGGCGGCACUGCUGUGCCAAGCACAUGUGGCGCCCACACGCCUGCCAGCUGCACCGUCGCCCCCCUCCCUCCCUCCCUCUCGCACUUUGGCAGCACCCCUUCGUUCGCACUUCUUAAUUGUUCGUUCUACGGUUGGUUGGACUACUAUUCUAUGAAUGCACAUGUUGAAGAAG